Conger conger (European conger) is the source of this 801-nucleotide long non-coding RNA. RefSeq lists it as uncharacterized. NCBI's taxonomy places the organism in Eukaryota, Metazoa, Chordata, Actinopteri, Anguilliformes, Congridae. The record is from RefSeq and is a predicted model, not a curated record. The transcript has 2 exons.
UUUAUGCCACACUGUCAUGGAUACAAAAUUAUUGGCAAUCAUUGGUCUGGAGGCAAUGCAACCAAACCAGAUGUGUACCUUGGUGAGCUUGCCUGCUUUGGUGAGACAGGCAUUUCAGAUGGAACAAGCACACAUUUACACAUUACAUAUGUUGGCAAAAUACAUUAGUGUGUUUGCUUCUGAGAAGACUGGUUCAUUUCUUUUCUUUUUUUAUGUGUGGUUACAGUACAUACACCAACUUCCUGCUCAUCCUUUUGUGUGUCUGUGUCUGUGUCUGUGUGAGUGUCUGUGUGUCUGUGAAAGAGAACAAGAGAGAGCUAAUUACCGCCAAAGGCCAGGGCAGAAAGUUCAACUUGCUCCGACCCCCAAAGAACAGCAAGCAGAAGAGGAAGAUGGUGAGAAGCCAUAAGAUGACGCUGACGAACAUCACCCAGCCGUAGGCCGGGAUGUUGGAGUAGCCGCUAGCUGCAAUCAGGGCCCACACCAGCAGCCCCAGGACCUGGGGAACAACACCCAGAGUCAGGAACAACCGUGCCCCGUGUAGCACAGAACCAGGAGGAGCCUGAAUCCUCCUCCAGUCAUAUUAACCCAAGCUGAACAGGACAUGUGGUGACAGCACACCAGGCACAGACACACCUGAGAGAGUCAAGAGUAGCACGGCGAGUUUCCUUCAUUUCUGAAAUGUGUUCUGUGAAGGCUGCACCCAGACAGCCCCCAGACAUCAAAUUUAAGGAGGCCCAACGACUGCUAAUGGUUGUAUAAGAAAUAUUUUUUUCAAUAAAACCUAUAUGAGCAUGCAAA